UACGUAGGGUGCAAGCGUUGUCCGGAAUUAUUGGGCGUAAAGAGCUCGUAGGCGGUUUGUCGCGUCUGCUGUGAAAUCCCGAGGCUCAACCUCGGGCCUGCAGUGGGUACGGGCAGACUAGAGUGCGGUAGGGGAGAUUGGAAUUCCUGGUGUAGCGGUGGGAUGCGCAGAUAUCAGGAGGAACACCGAUGGCGAAGGCAGAUCUCUGGGCCGUAACUGACGCUGAGGAGCGAAAGCAUGGGGAGCGAACAGG
Molecule: ribosomal RNA, 253 nt
Filed under: uncultured bacterium
Lineage: Bacteria
Description: partial 16S ribosomal RNA
Rfam family: Bacterial small subunit ribosomal RNA
Source: RNAcentral